Molecule: ribosomal RNA, 425 nt
Filed under: uncultured bacterium
Lineage: Bacteria
Description: partial 16S ribosomal RNA
Rfam family: Bacterial small subunit ribosomal RNA
Source: RNAcentral
GUUAGGAAUAUUGGACAAUGGGCGAAAGCCUGAUCCAGCCAUGCCGCGUGAACGAUGAAGGCCUUCGGGUUGUAAAGUUCUUUAGCCGAUGAUUAUAAUGACUGUAGUCGGAAAAUAAGCCCCGGCUAACUUCGUGCCAGCAGCCGCGGUAAUACGAAGGGGGCGAGCGUUAUUCGGAAUCACUGGGCGUAAAGCGUGCGUAGGCGGUUUUGUAAGUUAGGAGUGAAAGCCCAGGGCUCAACCUUGGAAUUGCUCUUAAAACUGCAAGGCUCGAAUCUCGGAGAGGAUAGCGGAAUUUCCAGUGUAGCAGUGAAAUGCAUAGAUAUUGGAAGGAACACCAGUGGCGUAAGCGGCUAUCUGGACGAGUAUUGACGCUGAGGCACGAAAGCGUGGGGAUCAAACAGGAUUAGAUACCCCAGUAGUCC